Mustela erminea (ermine) is the source of this 4032-nucleotide long non-coding RNA. RefSeq lists it as uncharacterized. The record is from RefSeq and is a predicted model, not a curated record. Lineage: Eukaryota; Metazoa; Chordata; Mammalia; Carnivora; Mustelidae. The transcript is spliced from 3 exons.
AAUAGUAACACAUGACAUCACCGCAGGGCGGUACCGUUGCCAAACCCUGUUCUGCCGUAAGUGCAUCAAUUCAUCUAGUCCCAGCAAUCGCCCCUAGGAGAUAGAGCCUAUUACUAUGCCUCUUCUCAGAUGCGAGCAACCCAGGCACAGAGAGCUCGAAAAGCAGCCCGAGACACUGGUGGGGCCAAACCCAGAAGGCCCAGCUGCAGAACCUACAUUCUCACCCGGCCGGCAGGUGCUCCUUGGGUGGGCUGGGGCCGCCGUGGGCUCCCUUGCCUACUUUCCUCUGAAAUGACUCAAAAUACUUAGCCACUGUAGUGAUGUUUCCUAGUUUUUUGUUUGUUUGUUUGUUUACAAAAUGUGAAUGAUUUUCCACCCCUGCGUUUACCAUCCUCAGUCUCCACACCCCAGAGCCGCCCCAUCCCAUCUCUCCAGGCAAGCGGGAGGAGCAACCAGACACGCCGGCCACUCCGUCACUGCCCAGCUGACCCACAGCCAUUCGGGCACUGGCUCACUCCCGUGGCGAACAGACACAACGCAAGAAGGCGCAGCCCCCAAAGCAAAUAUGACUCCACUGCACACCUGGACAGGUCGCGCGUCCCUCACGUUAAUUCUCAACAGGACUGCAAACAACUGAGAUCGCUGCAAAAUUUAACCUUUUCAUCGGCUCCAGAACCGAAUGAUCAAACACUUGGCCCCUUUCUCCAACUCACCAAACCAGCCAGAGUGCCCCGUGCGGGUCUGUGCUUCGCGCAAGUUCUCUCUCUGGCAGAUCCUUACCCAUUCCUUCCUUUCGAGCAUCCUCCAACUCCAGGAAGUUAACUGCUCCCCGGAAAGAUGGCAGCCUGGUUGCUGAUGAGUAGACAGUGACUUCAGGAAGGAAGCCUCCACACCGUGGGGAGGACCCUGCCUCUGAAUCUUAGCUCGGCCGUGUGCGUUCCUCAUCGAGGCUGUAGAUCGUGGGGAUCUACCUCCUGCGGCGGUUGCGGGAGCAAGGGGAGAUCCAGAAAAUGCCUCCAGCAGAACAGAGGCUCUCCUCUACGGUGUCCAGUUGCCGUGAUGGAGUUUAAAAUGUAGACACAUUUCACUUUAAAAAGAAGUGGGGGUGGGGCCGGUUGGGGUUUCGUUCAGACGCGCAGACUUCCUCUGUGCUCAUCAGCCGCGCUGCUGUGGCCAAAGGGAGGAGUCGUUCCUGCCGUGGACGGUCCCGGACCCUGCCCCGAGCAGCCGGAAGGAACACAGGACUCUACCUGAUAAGACAGGAGAACACCUACCUAGAAGGCACGUGAGGUUCAAAGGGCUUCCGGAGGAUUCCAGCACUACAGCACGGAGGCGGAAACCAGCAGCUGGAGGAUGGAGACGCGUCCGAGAGAGGUGAGAUGCCCAACAGCUUCAGGAUCCUGGGGAGAAAGUUCUGAGUGGUCUGACUUGAUCAUGAGCUCGCCCUCUAGGUAGGGCUGGCGCACGUGACAAAUAUCCCACCGGAACAUGAGGAGUAGGGUUGGGACCUGAAGGAGGAGUGCUGGCGCUGCAACAAGCCGGCGUGCUGGAUGGGCUUCUUCCUCAUCCCGGCCGCCCCGUGUGUACAUUCUGAUUUCCGUCAACACGGUUUCAGAAUGGACACCCAUCUCUCUAGGAUGGAGGGUGGCCCGAGUCCUACUGGCUGUCGCCUCUGGAGGGAGCGGAGCUACUCCUCUCUAACUGGGAAGCACCAGAGGAGGUUCAUGCCUCUCCCUCAGUGGGCUUGUGCUCCCAGGUGACCGCGGACAAGAACCUGAGUGGCUGUUUCAUCACAGCUCACCGUGCUCUGCUGUUCCCCGGGACUGGGAAGGGGAGGCUCACUGCUUUUCACAGUGACUGUCACCAAAAUUCUACAAAGGAAAGAUUGCUCGUCGGGCAAAUAGAAGAUGUGUCCCCUGUACUUGCUUACAGGGGAGACUGUGUGAGGACUCCCUUCCAGGGGGCUGGGGAUUCACUGCAGAACUAGAUGUUUUCUAAACACCCUGGUAACCGACACUCAGGGAUGCGUGGGGUUUCCAGUGUGUUUGGUCAGAGUGAAACCUAAUUCCUUAAUUUAUGGUCCCUCUGCUCUCUGCUAACACAGCGGCUCCAAGUUCAUAAUCCUUUCCGUCAAAUGACUUUCGGCUGCUUCAACACCCCUCACUGGCCAGACACCGGGGGCCGCCCCUGAGAUGCCAGGGGAGAGCGUCCACCAGUGCUGCCUGGGGGCAAUGAAAGGACUUAGAGCCCCCAGAAGCGCAGGCGCACACGCGGCCCGCCAGCCCAUGUGGUGGGAUAGAACGCAACCCUUCUCGUCGGGGUUUGGCUGGGCUGCGAGCACGAUGGCUUCCCCUCAUGCUAAAGAAAGACCACCAUCAGAAAGUGUGUAGUCGGUGUUCAGAUACCAUUCAAGCACCACUUAAGUUUUGCCAGGCUUGUGGACAUAGAAGAAUUUCCUUCCUUUUCCUUUUAAAUACCUUCUCCAUAAUGAUAAACGUUACCAGGGAGGGAGGAGUAUGCGAGAGAAAGUGUCCAGCCUGUUCGGAAGGACAAGUGAAGCUGUAGUCAUUUCACUUUAAAAAUAGCCCAUGGCUGCUCCCCUCAGCCACGCGGAAAGACGCAGCAGUCCAUACAUCACCUGCCUUACAGAGCGGCUCUCGCUGGAUGCCUGGGAACAGCCUCCAGGGCCUUACCUGCAUUUUGGAGGGCAGGGGAACUUAGUUGUUUGUUGCUAUUUUUAAUUUUUUUUCCAAGCCGGUUCUCAAAACAGAUUUCACCCUCCAAGGAAAACUUCUUGUUAUUUUAGAAGCAUCUUUCCCUGCAGCCAUGUGUAAAUCACAAUUGGUAAUCACCAGGGGUCAUGUCGUCAACACAGCCAAGAACGCCUUGGAGCUGAGUCAUAAGCCUGUGAUAUUAAUUACAGGGAGGAAUGUCACACUUGGGAAACGGGCUUAGAUCACGGAUUCUGACAUUGGAAUGUCUAGGAAUUUGGGUUUAGUUGGCGAAUAACAUUCCUCCUCAUUUAAAAUUUAAUAAAUAACGGCUUAGGGAAUCAAAUGAAUCUAUCUGCAUAGAAAAGCUCGCAGUGAUUGAACUUGGAGAGUGAGGGCGAGAAGCAGUCCCUCGGUUCCAGGGUUCCAGUCAGGCCCACCAGGAACCAGUGACCGUGACCGAAAGGAGCCUGACAGCUGCCCUCCCCUAGAGGCUGGCGCCUCCAACGCCAGCUGUCUCCUCCACAUGGCCGUCAGCUGCUUGGAAAUGGCACUUUUUAGAGGGACUUAGUGGUAACGAAUCAUGCUCCGAUUUUAGCAACAGCAGUUGACUGACAUUCAGGAAGGUAAUAAUGUUUCCCCAACAGAUUUCUAUUAGGAGAGAAUGUUUACCUGGUGGCCCUAUUCUGGGAUGGGGCACAAAGGGGGAAUUCCUUUCAUUCUUUCCCCCCAUUCCAGGGCAGGCUAAUCUGAGAAAUGCAUGUUUUCAUCUGCAGCUGUGGUGUCAUGGAUGAGGGAAAACAUGUGGCGGUAUCUCGGUCUCAGCCCGGGUGGAAAGCAGCAGAGAGGGCAGGGCGGUUCCAUGGGAAACCCGCCCUCCUGGGCUCCAGUUGGGGAUUGCAGGGAAGCCACAUCUCUAGGCUCUGUUGCCUUGGUCUGUUGGUGGGGGCGCGAGAACCCCUCUACCAUGCCCCGGGUUCUCUUAAAGGUCUUAAAGGCAGAGCACAUGCAACGCUUUUGGACAUUACAGGGACUGUGUCGACGUUAUCAUUAGUUCAUUUGAGAGGAAUUUGGACCCUAGGAUAUGUGUGCAUCCAUAAAGUUACAGAAGAAAGUAAAAGCUCACUCCAUCCAUGUUUGCUGACAAAGUGAUACAGAUGUUCCUUCCCACUCUGAACACAUAAGGUACUGGGUAAAGUGUUUUCAAAUAUGCUUUUAAAAUGCAUGUGCAGCACAGGAGAGGAUACUUGCAAAUGUCUUCUCAGAUAAAGGGCUAGUAUCCAAAAUCUAUAAAGAACUUAUCCAGCUCAACACCCAAGGA